CGCGUAGGCUGAAGAGCCAGUCGGGCGUGAAAUUCCAGGGCUUAACCCUGGAGCUGCACUCGAUACUACUCUUCUAGAGGAUAGGCGGAGAAAACGGAAUUCCACGUGUAGCGGUGAAAUGCGUAGAUAUGUGGAAGAACACCCGUGGCGAAGGCGGUUUUCUAGCUUAUUCCUGACGCUGAGGCGCGAAAGCAAGGGGAGCGAACA
Molecule: ribosomal RNA, 207 nt
Filed under: uncultured bacterium
Lineage: Bacteria
Description: partial 16S ribosomal RNA
Rfam family: Bacterial small subunit ribosomal RNA
Source: RNAcentral